GUCGUGGAGAGUCUCCAUCCAGCUGGAUCUCUGUCACAGUGAAACCCACCACUACAAUUCCUCCUUCAACCACCUCUCCUCCUGGUUCCUUCUCCUUUCCAUCAGCCUCCUCUCCUCAUGGUUCCUCCUCUACUCCUCCCUCUGUGUUGUGGUCUGCUGUUCUUUCCUUCUCUGUUCUGGUUGUACUGGUUCUGCUGGUUCUACUGGUGAGACGAUGCCUCUACUGGAAACCUAAAGCUUUUGAAGAAGAAGUUGGGGAUGAUGACAUCACAGAAGACGUCACAUACAGGGAUGUCAAAAUAUCACAUCACCUACAGCAGCCAAUCAGACGCAGCAAAGAGUGUUAUUCAGUUGCAGUCUACUCAGCAGUGAGAGGAACAGGUGACGUCAGUUCUGGACAAAUAGCCGACAGACCACACAGGACGAGAGGAAAUUGCAACCAAAAGAAAGGACGCAAGAGGAUUUAGAAGAGAAGAGGAAACAAAGAUGUUGGCGGGAACAGGGAUUUAUAAAACUGACAAAUGUUGCAAUUAACGCUUAAAGCAUAAUUAUCACAACAUUGUCUACUGUGUGUAAUGCAGGGGAUUAGUGUUGAUGGAAAAAGUUAUUUAUUUUGCUUAUCUGCAAGAGUUGAGGAACAGAGUUAACCAAGUUAGUGUUAACGGGGAAAAUACCGGGCUUAUUGGGACAGGAACCGCUAGAGGUUUAUGCAAUCUCUGCUAUAUUCUCUGAUAUUCAUUUUAUGUAUCACUCCUGGCAUUUGAUAUUUAUUAAUAAUUCAGUUUACUCCAACAUCUAUUAUCUUUGACAAAUUUUUUGUUAUAUUGUGUUUGUUAAAUUGUAAUCUUUUGU
Long non-coding RNA from Micropterus salmoides (largemouth bass), 852 nucleotides. RefSeq lists it as uncharacterized. The record is from RefSeq and is a predicted model, not a curated record. Lineage: Eukaryota; Metazoa; Chordata; Actinopteri; Centrarchiformes; Centrarchidae. The transcript is spliced from 5 exons.